GGAGGUAGAUGGAGCUUGCUCUAUGUACCUUAGCAGCGAACGGGUGAGUAACACGUAGAUAAUCUGUCCUAUAUUGGGGGAUAGCCCGAUGAAAGUUGGAUUAAUACCGCAUACAGCUAUAUAGUUGCAUGAUUAUAUAGUGAAAGAUUUAUUGAUAUAGGAGGAGUCUGCGGCACAUUAGCUAGUAGGUGAUGUAAGAGCUUACCUAGGCGACGAUGUGUAGCCGGUCUGAGAGGAUGAACGGCCACAAUGGAACUGAGACACGGUCCAUACUCCUACGGGAGGCAGCAGUGGGGAAUAUUGCACAAUGGGGAAACCCUGAUGCAGCAACGCCGCGUGAGUGAAGAAGGUUUUCGGAUUGUAAAGCUCUGUUAGCAGGGAAGAGGAAGGACGGUACCUGCAGAGGAAGCCACGGCUAACUACGUGCCAGCAGCCGCGGUAAUACGUAGGUGGCAAGCGUUGUUCGGAAUAACUGGGCGUAAAGGAUGCGUAGGCGGUUAAAUAAGUUAUAUGUUAAAUAUAUAGGCUUAACCUGUAGAAAGCAUAUAAAACUGUUUAACUAGAGUGCAGGAGAGGUAAGUGGAAUUCCUAGUGCAGCGGUGAAAUGCGUAGAGAUUAGGAAGAACACCAGUGGCGAAGGCGACUUACUGGACUGUAACUGACGCUGAG
RNAcentral lists this ribosomal RNA (669 nucleotides) under uncultured bacterium. RNAcentral describes it as "bacterial SSU rRNA". It matches the Rfam family "Bacterial small subunit ribosomal RNA", at positions 65 to 750 of the family's 1533-position model. The record is from RNAcentral.